This 245-nucleotide ribosomal RNA is filed under the name uncultured bacterium. RNAcentral's name for it is "partial 16S ribosomal RNA". It matches the Rfam family "Bacterial small subunit ribosomal RNA", at positions 524 to 768 of the family's 1533-position model. The record is from RNAcentral.
UACGUAGGUGGCGAGCGUUGUCCGGAUUUACUGGGCGUAAAGGGAGCGUAGGCGGUCUAUUAAGUGGGAUGUGAAAUACCCGGGCUUAACUCGGGAAUUGCAUUCCAAACUGGUAGACUAGAGUGCAGGAGAGGAAAGUGGAAUUCCAAGUGUAGCGGUGAAAUGCGUAGAGAUUUGGAGGAACACCAGUGGCGAAGGCGACUUUCUGGACUGAUACUGACGCUGAUGCUCGAGAGCGUGGGGAG